GGCUCAGGACGAACGCUGGCGGCGUGCUUAACACAUGCAAGUCGCGCGUGAAAGGGCUUCGGCCCGAGUAAAGCGGCGCACGGGUGAGUAACGCGUGGAUGAUCUACCCAUGAGUUGGGAAUAACGGCUGGAAACGGUCGCUAAUACCGAAUACGCUCCGAUUUCAACUUCGGGGGAAAGGUGGCCUCUGCUUGCAAGCUACUGCUCAUGGAUGAGUCCGCGUCCCAUUAGCUAGUUGGUGGGGUAACGGCCCACCAAGGCGACGAUGGGUAGCCGGUCUGAGAGGAUGACCGGCCACACUGGGACUGGAACACGGCCCAGACUCCUACGGGAGGCAGCAGUGGGGAAUAUUGCGCAAUGGGCGAAAGCCUGACGCAGCGACGCCGCGUGAAGGGAUGAAGGUCCUCGGAUCGUAAACCUCUGUCAGGAGGGAAGAACCGCCACGGUGCUAAUCAGCCGUGGUCUGACGGUACCUCCAAAGGAAGCACCGGCUAACUCCGUGCCAGCCGCUGC
Molecule: ribosomal RNA, 513 nt
Filed under: uncultured bacterium
Lineage: Bacteria
Description: bacterial SSU rRNA
Rfam family: Bacterial small subunit ribosomal RNA
Source: RNAcentral